Molecule: ribosomal RNA, 661 nt
Filed under: Haloptilus longicornis
Lineage: Eukaryota; Metazoa; Arthropoda; Copepoda; Calanoida; Augaptilidae
Description: eukaryotic LSU rRNA
Rfam family: Eukaryotic large subunit ribosomal RNA
Source: RNAcentral
UGGCGAUGAACGGGAAUAGCCCAUCGUCGAACUGCAGGUCAUCUUGGCCUCGCGGAAUGUGGCGUUUGGGAGAGUCUUAUCGCAGAUCGGACGGCCAGUCAAAGUCCAACUUGACAGUGGCCACUGCCCGUAGAGGGUGAUAGGCCCGUAAGGCGGCUGUCCGUCGGCGCCGACUUUUCCCUAGAGUCGGGUUGCUUGGGAGUGCAGCCCAAAGUGCGAGGUAAACUCCUCGUAAGGCUAAAUAUGACCCCGAGACCGAUAGCAAACAAGUACCGUGAGGGAAGAUUGAAAAGAACUUUGAAGAGAGAGUUCAAGAGUACGUGAAACUGUGUGGUGGUAAACGGAGGGGUUCUCGAAGUUUCUGAGGGGGACUCAACCUUGGUGGCGACUCGGCCUGGCUGUGUGGGAUCAGCAAUGACUCAUCGGUCGGUGUCCGUUUGCCUCCCGGACGCACUUUCUCCUCAGUUUACGGCAGGAACCGUUAGGAGCGGACCAAAGGCUCGGGGUGAAGUUGUCGGUUAUGCUGGCAGCCCCCGGUGUCCUGGCUUUGCACCUGACGGGUAUGUAAGCGGACUCGUAUAGCGAGCAAUUCUCUAUUGCGGUUCGCAUCUCUCUGCCGAGUAGGUCGGUGGCCCCUCCGACCCGUCUUGAAACACGGACC